AGAAUCAACGCUGGCGGCGUGCCUAACACAUGCAAGUCGCACGAGAAAGGGUAGCAAUACCUGAGUAAAGUGGCGCACGGGUGAGUAACACGUGAAUCAUCUACCUCCGAGUGGGGAAUAACCUAGAGAAAUCUGGGCUAAUACCGCAUAAUACUUACGAGUCAAAGCAGCAAUGCGCUUGGAGAGGAGUUCGCGGCAGAUUAGCUAGUUGGCGGGUAAUGGCCCACCAAGGCGAUGAUCUGUA
This 244-nucleotide ribosomal RNA is filed under the name uncultured bacterium. RNAcentral's name for it is "partial small subunit ribosomal RNA". It matches the Rfam family "Bacterial small subunit ribosomal RNA", at positions 26 to 285 of the family's 1533-position model. The record is from RNAcentral.